CCUACGGGUGGCAGCAGUGAGGAAUAUUGGUCAAUGGACGAGAGUCUGAACCAGCCAAGUAGCGUGAAGGAUGACUGCCCUAUGGGUUGUAAACUUCUUUUAUAUGGGAAUAAAAUGUUCCACGUGUGGGAUUUUGUAUGUACCAUAUGAAUAAGGAUCGGCUAACUCCGUGCCAGCAGCCGCGGUAAUACGGAGGAUCCGAGCGUUAUCCGGAUUUAUUGGGUUUAAAGGGAGCGUAGGUGGAUUGUUAAGUCAGUUGUGAAAGUUUGCGGCUCAACCGUAAAAUUGCAGUUGAAACUGGCAGUCUUGAGUACAGUAGAGGUAGGCGGAAUUCGUGGUGUAGCGGUGAAAUGCUUAGAUAUCACGAAGAACUCCAGUUGCGAAGGCGGCUCACUGGACUGCAACUGACACUGAGGCUCGAAAGCGUGGGGAGCAAACAGGAUUAGAUACCCUUGUAGUC
This 460-nucleotide ribosomal RNA is filed under the name uncultured bacterium. RNAcentral's name for it is "partial 16S ribosomal RNA". It matches the Rfam family "Bacterial small subunit ribosomal RNA", at positions 338 to 795 of the family's 1533-position model. The record is from RNAcentral.